RNAcentral lists this long non-coding RNA (898 nucleotides) under Mus musculus (house mouse). Its description in RNAcentral is "RIKEN cDNA 4933401D09 gene". The record is from RNAcentral. Lineage: Eukaryota; Metazoa; Chordata; Mammalia; Rodentia; Muridae.
AGAGUAGUCACGGUCACCCUGAAUCAACACUAUCCCCACCAGGCACUAAUCAGUUCCGUCUCUCCUGCCUCUGCUCCUCCAACUCCCUCCACCUUCCUCCGUUUUACUCUGCAACCAAAUCAUCUGCUUACAGAGGACCUCCUCUUCAACGAACCGAACCGGGAACUACGCCUGUCUGAAAACCACCCUCCUCACCUUAAGUGUCUUAUGCGGAUAAUGAGAUACAUUUUUUUUCCUGCAAAAAGACACGAAAGAAGGAGAAACUUUCCACUCCUAAUGAAUAUGAGGAUCUUGAUAAGUCUUGAUUCCAAGAUGCCUUUCCAGAACAGAACCCAGACAUGUGAGUCGCUGGCCGCAACAGAUCUGGCGCCCACGCGGGACUGAGAAACGGCAGAGGACAUUUGGAAGAAACACUGCUGGUUUGGAGCUCCAUAGAAGAAGAAAAUAAUUAAAGGAAAUUCAUACCGGAGAAGGUCGGUAUGGGCUAAGUUGAAACAGCAUUAAACCUGAACGGUUAAUACACUUAGGUUCCGCAGUGAGGCUUAUCAGGAGCUAGGAACGUAUCAGGCAGUUAGCCGUAGCUCCCAGAAGCUACAUUUUUAGGUGUGACAAAAGAAAGGGUUUAUUAAAAGGAAAUUAAUAAUCAGACAGAUGGCCGCAAUUAAAAACUGCAUCAUGAGGGAGGAAAAUGUCCCAAAAAGCAAAGAGAAAUUUCAGGAGUGCCAUGCUUUGUUCUCUCUGGGCUUUACAGCAGAAGUACUCUGCCCCUUUUGUGUCUUGUCUAAUGUCUGGUGCACCAAUCUGUUCACGUGUUCAAUUCAUGUAUGUUCAUGUCCAGUCUGUAUGAAUGAAUGUUCUAUGUUUUAUGUUGGAUAAUAAAGAUGGAAAAAAAAAAAAA